This 891-nucleotide ribosomal RNA is filed under the name Triticum aestivum (bread wheat). Its description in RNAcentral is "partial small subunit ribosomal RNA". The record is from RNAcentral. Lineage: Eukaryota; Viridiplantae; Streptophyta; Magnoliopsida; Poales; Poaceae.
AUGCCAUGGCGAGCUCCGGGCUCUGGUGUUCUUGGGCCUUGCCCUGGGACUCCGCCACAACAGGCGAUGUACGCUGCUCCGACCCCAACUGCUCCUGGUGCGUACGGCUACGGGCCGCCGUCCGCCUACGCCACCCCUCCCGGCGCGCCACAGCAGCCUCUAGACAUGACUUCCCUUCAGGCUGCACUCCACAGCGCCACCGCAGGGCUGUCAUCCUCUGGGAGCGCUCCUGAGUGGUACAUGGACUCCGGCGCGGCAUCGCACAUGACGAACACCCCCGGUACUCUUCACACUCUUCUCCCGUCCACUUCCUCCUCUCACAUUGUAGUUGGUAGCGGUGAGCAUCUUCCUAUCACACACACGGGCGCCGGCUCGCUCAUCUCCGGUACCUCGCCCAUCCAACUCCGCAACAUACUUGUUUCGCCCUCUUUGAUCAAGAAUCUCCUUUCCGUUCGUCAAAUUUGUCGUGACAAUCCCGUUUCAGUUGAAUUUGACUUAUUUGGCUUCUCUGUCAAGGACCUUCGAACUCGGGCGGUGAUCCUGCGUUGUGAUUCCACCGGCGACCUCUACUCCGUGACGACGCCACGACCCACCGCUCUUCCCUUCGCCGGCGUCGUCACCACUACUCGCCUGCACCAGCGGCUUGGUCACCUCGGUUCUGCGCAGCUCCGGCUUGUCGACAGUAGUUUUUCUUUCAGCAAAAGUGCUCCACAUCCUUGCCACGCCUGUCGCCUUGGCAAGCAUGUGCGCCUCCCAUUUUCAGCUUCAGACACUUGUACUUAUUUUCCCUUUGAACUACUGCAUCUUGAUGUAUGGACGUCACCGGUUUCUAGCAUCUCUGGUUACCAGUUCUAUCUAGUGAUCCUCGAUGGCUACACACACUACGUCUAG